RNAcentral lists this ribosomal RNA (1015 nucleotides) under Glandirana rugosa (Japanese wrinkled frog). Its description in RNAcentral is "Rugosa rugosa (Japanese wrinkled frog) partial 16S ribosomal RNA". It matches the Rfam family "Bacterial large subunit ribosomal RNA", at positions 776 to 2489 of the family's 2925-position model. Lineage: Eukaryota; Metazoa; Chordata; Amphibia; Anura; Ranidae. The record is from RNAcentral.
CAACCCGUCUCUGUUGCAAAAGAGUGGGAAGAUUUUCAAGUAGAGGUGACAAGCCUAUCGAACUUAGAGAUAGCUGGUUGUUCAGGAAAAGAGUCCCAGCUCUACCUUAAGUUUUUCAAUUAACCUAAACAAAAUCCUAGACUUAAGAGCUAUUCAAGUAAGGCACAGCUUACUUGAAACAGGGUACAACCUCCCACAUUGGGUAAACAAGAACAAAUUAAACAAAGUGGGCCUAAGAGCAGCCAUCUUAUAAAAAGCGUUAAAGCUUAACUUACAUGCACUCAUAAUUCCAAUAGUUAUUAUUAACCCCUCAUUACUACUGAACUAUUUUAUAACCUUAUAAAAAUUAUUAUGCUAGAACUAGUAACAUGAAUACUUUUCUCCUUAAUGUAAGCUUAAACCAUAAUGGACCGUCCACUGGUAUUUAACGUAACUGUUCUUAUUAUAGCAACAUACGUCUAGAAAACCCUAUAAUCAAUAACGUUAACCUUACACUAGAACAUUAUAGGAAAGAUUAAAAGAAAGAGAAGGAACUCGGCAAACCCCAGCCCCGCCUGUUUACCAAAAACAUCGCCUCUUGCCUAACAUAAGAGGUCCAGCCUGCCCAGUGACAUAGUUUAACGGCCGCGGUACCCUAACCGUGCAAAGGUAGCAUAAUCACUUGUUCCCUAAAUAGGGACUAGUAUCAAUGGCAUCACGAGGGCUACACUGUCUCCUCUCUCCAAUCAGUGAAACUGAUCUCCCCGUGAAGAAGCGGGGAUUUUAGUAUAAGACGAGAAGACCCCAUGGAGCUUUAAACUUAAUACACACCUCUUCCCAUCUACACCAAUUAACCCUAAAAGUCUGUGUAUUAGUUUUAGGUUGGGGGGACCGCGGAGUACAACUCAACCUCCACGACAAACGGGCCAACGCCCUUAUACAUGAAACACAAUUCUAAGAAUCAACAAUCUGAUGUUUUAUGACCCGACAAGUCGAUCAACGAACCAAGUUACCCUGGGGAUAACAGCGCAAUCUA